RNAcentral lists this non-coding RNA (53 nucleotides) under Alexandrium minutum. The record is from RNAcentral. Lineage: Eukaryota; Dinophyceae; Gonyaulacales; Pyrocystaceae.
CACAAGGCGCGCCAGCGGGGCAACUCCAAGUUCAAGAAGAAGAUCAUCCGCCA